GACGAACGCUGGCGGCGUGCUUAACACAUGCAAGUCGAACGGAAAGGGCCUGCUUUUGUGGGAUGCUCGAGUGGCGAACGGGUGAGUAACACGUGAGUAACCUGCCCUUGACUUUGGGAUAACUUCAGGAAACUGGGGCUAAUACCGGAUAGGAGCUCCUGCUGCAUGGUGGGGGUUGGAAAGUUUCGGCGGUUGGGGAUGGACUCGCGGCUUAUCAGCUUGUUGGUGGGGUAGUGGCUUACCAAGGCUUUGACGGGUAGCCGGCCUGAGAGGGUGACCGGCCACAUUGGGACUGAGAUACGGCCCAGACUCCUACGGGAGGCAGCAGUGGGGAAUAUUGCACAAUGGGCGGAAGCCUGAUGCAGCAACGCCGCGUGCGGGAUGACGGCCUUCGGGUUGUAAACCGCUUUCGCCUGUGACGAAGCGUGAGUGACGGUAAUGGGUAAAGAAGCACCGGCUAACUACGUG
This 468-nucleotide ribosomal RNA is filed under the name uncultured bacterium. RNAcentral's name for it is "partial 16S ribosomal RNA". It matches the Rfam family "Bacterial small subunit ribosomal RNA", at positions 28 to 507 of the family's 1533-position model. The record is from RNAcentral.